RNAcentral lists this ribosomal RNA (325 nucleotides) under uncultured eukaryote. RNAcentral's name for it is "partial 18S ribosomal RNA". It matches the Rfam family "Eukaryotic small subunit ribosomal RNA", at positions 1470 to 1796 of the family's 1831-position model. The record is from RNAcentral.
CCCUUAGAUGUCCUGGGCCGCACGCGCGCUACACUGAUGCAUUCAACGAGUUCUACCUUGGCCGAGAGGCCUGGGCAAUCUUUUGAACGUGCAUCGUGAUAGGGAUAGAUUAUUGCAAUUAUUAAUCUUGAACGAGGAAUUCCUAGUAAACGCAGAUCAUCAAUCUGCAUUGAUUACGUCCCUGCCCUUUGUACACACCGCCCGUCGCACCUACCGAUUGAAUGGUCCGGUGAAGCCUCGGGAUUGUGGCGAGUUCCCUUUAUUGGGAUUUUGUCGCGAGAACUUGUCUAAACCUUAUCAUUUAGAGGAAGGUGAAGUCGUAACA